CAUUUGCCAUCAUGAACUUUGGAACCAUGUCCACAUUAUAAUCUCUGCUGGAACCUAAAUGUGCUGGGGGACUAUCACUUCCUCUAAACCUUUUCCAUAGCUGGAUAAGAUUGAGUGAGCUUGAUUCCCCUCCAUAAUAAUCAUUCCUGUCCAUGUGCAAGACCUUGAGACCGUCGACGGAGAGGAGGCCGCUGAGGAUGCACUCCUUGAGGCCGGUGCCGAGCACGAUGACGUCAUACUCUUCAUCCAUGGCGGAUUGAGAGCAGCUAAGAAGAGAGAGAGAGAGAAGGGCUGAAAAAUGAGGUGGGUCGAUCCGAG
This 318-nucleotide unclassified non-coding RNA is filed under the name Hevea brasiliensis (rubber tree). Lineage: Eukaryota; Viridiplantae; Streptophyta; Magnoliopsida; Malpighiales; Euphorbiaceae. The record is from RNAcentral.